Molecule: ribosomal RNA, 253 nt
Filed under: uncultured bacterium
Lineage: Bacteria
Description: partial 16S ribosomal RNA
Rfam family: Bacterial small subunit ribosomal RNA
Source: RNAcentral
UACGUAGGGUGCGAGCGUUAUUCGGAAUUACUGGGCGUAAAGCGUGCGCAGGCGGUUUUGUAAGUCCGAUGUGAAAGCCCCGGGCUUAACCUGGGAAUGGCAUUUGGGACUGCAAGGCUUGAGUGCGGCAGAGGAGACUGGAAUUCCUGGUGUAGCAGUGAAAUGCGUAGAUAUCAGGAGGAAUACCGAUGGCGAAGGCAGGUCUCUGGGCUGACACUGACGCUCAUGCACGAAAGCGUGGGGAGCAAACAGG